UUAAAUUGAAGAGUUUGAUCAUGGCUCAGAUUGAACGCUGGCGGCAGGCCUAACACAUGCAAGUCGAACGGUAACAGGAAGCAGCUUGCUGCUUUGCUGACGAGUGGCGGACGGGUGAGUAAUGUCUGGGAAACUGCCUGAUGGAGGGGGAUAACUACUGGAAACGGUGGCUAAUACCGCAUAACGUCGCAAGACCAAAGAGGGGGACCUUCGGGCCUCUUGCCAUCAGAUGUGCCCAGAUGGGAUUAGCUUGUUGGUGAGGUAACGGCUCACCAAGGCGACGAUCCCUAGCUGGUCUGAGAGGAUGACCAGCCACACUGGAACUGAGACACGGUCCAGACUCCUACGGGAGGCAGCAGUGGGGAAUAUUGCACAAUGGGCGCAAGCCUGAUGCAGCCAUGCCGCGUGUAUGAAGAAGGCCUUCGGGUUGUAAAGUACUUUCAGCGGGGAGGAAGGUGUUGUGGUUAAUAACCGCAGCAAUUGACGUUACCCGCAGAAGAAGCACCGGCUAACUCCGUGCCAGCAGCCGCGGUAAUACGGAGGGUGCAAGCGUUAAUCGGAAUUACUGGGCGUAAAGCGCACGCAGGCGGUCUGUCAAGUCGGAUGUGAAAUCCCCGGGCUCAACCUGGGAACUGCAUUCGAAACUGGCAGGCUUGAGUCUUGUAGAGGGGGGUAGAAUUCCAGGUGUAGCGGUGAAAUGCGUAGAGAUCUGGAGGAAUACCGGUGGCGAAGGCGGCCCCCUGGACAAAGACUGACGCUCAGGUGCGAAAGCGUGGGGAGCAAACAGGAUUAGAUACCCUGGUAGUCCACGCCGUAAACGAUGUCUACUUGGAGGUUGUGCCCUUGAGGCGUGGCUUCCGGAGCUAACGCGUUAAGUAGACCGCCUGGGGAGUACGGCCGCAAGGUUAAAACUCAAAUGAAUUGACGGGGGCCCGCACAAGCGGUGGAGCAUGUGGUUUAAUUCGAUGCAACGCGAAGAACCUUACCUGGUCUUGACAUCCACGGAAGUUUUCAGAGAUGAGAAUGUGCCUUCGGGAACCGUGAGACAGGUGCUGCAUGGCUGUCGUCAGCUCGUGUUGUGAAAUGUUGGGUUAAGUCCCGCAACGAGCGCAACCCUUAUCCUUUGUUGCCAGCGGUCCGGCCGGGAACUCAAAGGAGACUGCCAGUGAUAAACUGGAGGAAGGUGGGGAUGACGUCAAGUCAUCAUGGCCCUUACGACCAGGGCUACACACGUGCUACAAUGGCGCAUACAAAGAGAAGCGACCUCGCGAGAGCAAGCGGACCUCAUAAAGUGCGUCGUAGUCCGGAUUGGAGUCUGCAACUCGACUCCAUGAAGUCGGAAUCGCUAGUAAUCGUGGAUCAGAAUGCCACGGUGAAUACGUUCCCGGGCCUUGUACACACCGCCCGUCACACCAUGGGAGUGGGUUGCAAAAGAAGUAGGUAGCUUAACCUUCGGGAGGGCGCUUACCACUUUGUGAUUCAUGACUGGGGUGAAGUCGUAACAAGGUAACCGUAGGGGAACCUGCGGUUGGAUCACCUCCUUACCUUAAAGAAGC
RNAcentral lists this ribosomal RNA (1556 nucleotides) under Salmonella enterica subsp. enterica serovar Essen. RNAcentral describes it as "bacterial SSU rRNA". It matches the Rfam family "Bacterial small subunit ribosomal RNA". RNAcentral also lists the same sequence under 8 other names. Lineage: Bacteria; Pseudomonadati; Pseudomonadota; Gammaproteobacteria; Enterobacterales; Enterobacteriaceae. The record is from RNAcentral.